GACGAACGCUGGCGGCGUGCUUAACACAUGCGAGUCGAACGGAAAGGCCCUGCUUUUGUGGGGUGCUCGAGUGGCGAACGGGUGAGUAACACGUGAGUAACCUGCCCUUGACUUUGGGAUAACUUCAGGAAACUGGGGCUAAUACCGGAUAGGAGCUCCUGCUGCAUGGUGGGGGUUGGAAAGUUUCGGCGGUUGGGGAUGGACUCGCGGCUUAUCAGCUUGUUGGUGGGGUAGUGGCUUACCAAGGCUUUGACGGGUAGCCGGCCUGAGAGGGUGACCGGCCACAUUGGGACUGAGAGACGGCCCAGACUCCUACGGGAGGCAGCAGUGGGGAAUAUUGCACAAUGGGCGGAAGCCUGAUGCAGCAACGCCGCGUGCGGGAUGACGGCCUUCGGGUUGUAAACCGCUUUCGCCUGUGACGAAGCGUGAGUGACGGUAAUGGGUAAAGAAGCACCGGCUAACUACGU
Molecule: ribosomal RNA, 467 nt
Filed under: uncultured bacterium
Lineage: Bacteria
Description: partial 16S ribosomal RNA
Rfam family: Bacterial small subunit ribosomal RNA
Source: RNAcentral